AGACAAUUAGUUUAACAAAAACCUUUGAUUUCGGCUCAAAAACUUGUGGUUAAAGCCCAUACUUGUCUA
Molecule: transfer RNA, 69 nt
Filed under: Plesiops nakaharae
Lineage: Eukaryota; Metazoa; Chordata; Actinopteri; Plesiopidae
Description: tRNA-Arg
Rfam family: tRNA
About the family: Transfer RNA (tRNA) molecules are approximately 80 nucleotides in length. Their secondary structure includes four short double-helical elements and three loops (D, anti-codon, and T loops).
Source: RNAcentral